Molecule: ribosomal RNA, 395 nt
Filed under: uncultured bacterium
Lineage: Bacteria
Description: bacterial SSU rRNA
Rfam family: Bacterial small subunit ribosomal RNA
Source: RNAcentral
GACGAACGCUGGCGGCGUGCUUAACACAUGCAAGUCGAGCGGUAAGGCCCUUUCGGGGGUACACGAGCGGCGAACGGGUGAGUAACACGUGGGUGACCUGCCUCUAGCUCUGGGAUAAGCCUGGGAAACUGGGUCUAAUACCGGAUAUGACUCCACGGCGCAUGUUGUGGGGUGGAAAGCCUUGUGUGGCUAGAGAUGGGCCCGCGGCCUAUCAGCUUGUUGGUGGGGUGAUGGCCUACCAAGGCGACGACGGGUAGCCGGCCUGAGAGGGCGACCGGCCACACUGGGACUGAGACACGGCCAGACUCCUACGGGAGGCAGCAGUGGGGAAUCUUGCGCAAUGGACGAAAGCCUGACGCAGCGACGCCGCGUGAGGGAUGACGGCCUGGUGUAAC